UAGAGAUCCUGAGAUUAAGUAUUCAGCUAUUAUGUCACAGGUUAACUAACCCAGUUGAAAGAUUUCAUAGCUCACUGCCUUUUACAUAUAAUUAUGGCAAGUGAGUCCUAGGAAUGCUUAGACAAUGAGAAUGGGUGGCACUCGUUAAAGUGGCGGCUGUUGUAAGGGAGACUGACACGUGUGGAAAUUACAAUAUUGCGCAGAUGGAUCUGUGUAUUUACAGCAUACAUUCUAUACACACUAUACACUGAUACAUUAACAUACGAUACCACCAACGCACUGUAUGCUAAUUGGGCAGGUAAUAGAUGACCACCGUAUUAGGCGACGAAGUCGCGGGAUGCUGCUUAUGAAAUCAUCAUGCACAAACAACUGGUGAUCUCGGCCUGGAUUUGCAACCCAAUUGGUUGGAACGAGUGACGGGCGAUUCUGUUCCAUUUCCGCUUCAAACGACUGGACGAAACGAGUCGCGAUCUCCCUCCUCCUGACGCACGCUUUCGUCACUUCCUGUCACACUUGCAUUCUGCAUAUAUUCGACCAGUGUCCAUAGCCACGAAGACGACGAUAUAACGAGGUCUCUUUCGUAAGUCAGGAAAGCUCCCGUUAUUGUCCGCGAAGAUACUGCGACGUGUACCCGGAGAUCGGAGCCUGUUUCUUGGGUAGCCGUAAUCGAGACCCGUUUCCAUUUCGUACGCUGAUAGCCCACCGGAUUGCUUCACAAUCGAGCAUUUACAAGACUUUCCGUGUUACUGGGAUAUGUAACGGCGAUUCCCAGCCUUAUCACCUUCAGACGAUACCGGGAGUCUUGCAAAUUAGCAGAAAAUUGCUAUAUAUUUUAGGUUUAAACCUCAUCUAAAAAACGGACGAGCAUUUCAACGAUUUUUGAUACACAAAUGAGACCUCCAACGCCGCAAGGAAAGAUUUGGGGACCGGAAUAUUGAACCGGUACCGAAGAAUCCUGUUCUACAGGUGGCUGUAACAGAUCUUUGCUCAAGACCGACGCAUCGGGGUUACUUUACAAGUUUUUCGAAGCUCAAAAAACUUUUCUUUAUAAAUAAUCUCUGUUUAUCUCUUGUUAUUUUACAGACGUGACUAAUCACGUUUUAACAAAAAUGGAAUAAAGAUUCUAGUGAACUUCAUAAAACUUUUCAAAAUGUGAUUUCAGAAGAAUUGUCAAUUAAAAAUAAAUUUUUAUUUAAUUUGGGAGCUAUAGUUUAAAAGAUUCUUCUUUUAAUAACAAUGUAAAUGAAUACGAAGAGAAUGAAUGCGUAGAGUCAAUCUCUAUAUAGUAAGCGUCGCCUGUUUGAUAGAAAAUGGACGAAAAAUUGGCAUGAAGCCGCGCACUGAAAAUCGGUGGUUGCGGAAAUGGGUGGUUAUUAAUACUCAAGUGAGCCGCAACGUCAUUGAAUAGCGUUACGCCUGCCAUUUCUUAUACGUAUAUUGUGUAAAAUGUACAAUAUAUGACUUGAUAAAUAAAUAUUGUCAUCGAAUUAAUUUUCUUAAUGAAUCAGUAAAAUUUGUUUGGAUUUAUUACGUAAUAAUUAAUUUCCCAUUGUAAUUCCGAAUUUAUUGUC
Molecule: long non-coding RNA, 1571 nt
Filed under: Acromyrmex echinatior (Panamanian leafcutter ant)
Lineage: Eukaryota; Metazoa; Arthropoda; Insecta; Hymenoptera; Formicidae
Description: uncharacterized LOC105153693
Source: RNAcentral